GAUGAACGCUGGCGGCGUGCCUAAUACAUGCAAGUCGAGCGAACAGACGAGGAGCUUGCUCCUCUGACGUUAGCGGCGGACGGGUGAGUAACACGUGGAUAACCUACCUAUAAGACUGGGAUAACUUCGGGAAACCGGAGCUAAUACCGGAUAACAUGUUGAACCGCAUGGUUCAACAGUGAAAGACGGUCUUGCCGUCACUUAUAGAUGGAUCCGCGCCGCAUUAGCUAGUUGGUAAGGUAACGGCUUACCAAGGCAACGAUGCGUAGCCGACCUGAGAGGGUGAUCGGCCACACUGGAACUGAGACACGGUCCAGACUCCUACGGGAGGCAGCAGUAGGGAAUCUUCCGCAAUGGGCGAAAGCCUGACGGAGCAACGCCGCGUGAGUGAAGAAGGUCUUGGGAUCGUAAAACUCUGUUAUUAGGGAAGAACAAAUGUGUAAGUAACUAUGCACGUCUUGACGGUACCUAAUCAGAAAGCCACGGCUAACUACGUG
Molecule: ribosomal RNA, 497 nt
Filed under: uncultured bacterium
Lineage: Bacteria
Description: partial 16S ribosomal RNA
Rfam family: Bacterial small subunit ribosomal RNA
Source: RNAcentral